GAUGAAGAACGCAGUGAAAUGCGAUACUUGGUGUGAAUUGCAGAAUCCCGUGAACCAUCGAGUCUUUGAACGCAAGUUGCGCCCGAAGCCAUUAGGCCGAGGGCACGCCUGCCUGGGUGUCACACGUCGUUGCCCCCCCAUCUACUCCUUCGGGAUUGCGGGGGGCGGAUGAUGGCCUCCCGUGCGCCUCGUCGCGCGGUUGGCAUAAAUGCCAAGUCCUCGGCGACGCACGCCACGACAAUCGGUGGUUGCGAAACCUCGGUUGCCCGUCGUGUGCGGUCGUCGCGCAUCGAGGGCUCGAAAAAAUUGCCGGGCUUCGGCUCGGCUUUCAACGCGACCCCAGGUCAGGCGGGGUUACCCGCUGAAUUUAAGCAUAUCAAUAAGCGGAGGA
RNAcentral lists this unclassified non-coding RNA (391 nucleotides) under soil metagenome. RNAcentral's name for it is "partial contains 5.8S ribosomal RNA, internal transcribed spacer 2, and large subunit ribosomal RNA". The stretch from base 1 to 122 matches the Rfam family "5.8S ribosomal RNA", at positions 35 to 154 of the family's 154-position model. The record is from RNAcentral.